GAAAACCCUAGCUCGCCCUCGUCCAUUCCCUCCUUGGUCCCUUUCGUUCCCCAUCCUCUCUUGCCCGAAUUCGAGCUCGGAGAAUUCGUGGUCACCGCUGCCUCGCCCUCGUUGACGCGUCCAACGGCCUCUUCGGCGUGCGGGAGGAUGUCUAGGAGGUCCGCCGCUGCCGGAUCCAUCCAUUUCGGAGACCAGCUCAAGCCGGGACGGCCCGUACGCUCGCCAUCGCCGCCAUCUUCGCCCAUGGCCGCCACACCUCGCCAUCAAGUUCGUCGCAUCCCGGCCGCCCCGUGCCUUUGGACCUUGUCCACGAGCCUCCUGGUAAGCUCCUCUGCCGAUUCCCCUGGUUCCCGUGCUCGAUUCGUUGUCAUAGUUGUCGCCCCGAGUUCGUCCGUGCGCGCCCGUGCGUGGCCUCGGCGCUGCCGUGCUGCUGCUAUUGCGCCCCGCCGUCCGCCCGUUGCCGCAUCGCCGCGCCCCACGUCCAUGUGCGCGCUCGUGCGCCCCUCCGUCGCCCAGCCUACGCGUGCAUCGUCGCGAUCGCCCGCUAUCGUGCUCCUGUUGUUGCCCUGCUACUGCUGCCAUUUGCCACUGCUGCUACUUGAUGUACUGCUUGCAGCUACCAUGCUGCCGCUUCCACGCGUCGUAUGCUCGGCCACUCCCGUGUCAUUGCUGCAGCUGGCAUGGCAAGGCCAUGGCCAAGUACGCCAUGCGUGUUUGUGCUGUGUGCACAUGCGUGUGUGUGAUGUGUAUGGUGUGCACGGCCAUGUACGUGUGUGUGGCCGGCUGGUUAGUCUAAUUAGUGGUUAUUGUAAAGAGUAAAAAGGAAAGAGAGAGCAAAUGAUUAAACAGUUGUCUCACUGAUUGAAGAUGUGGGUAUAUAUACCCUAGUACAAAGGCGGUUACAAGGAGCAGUUGUUAAACUAAAGCAACUGACAUAGCAGGGAUUAUCCCUUAAUUAAUUCCUAACACUCCCCCUAAUCAAUGCUUGUCUUUAUAAUAUAUAUCAUGUUGAUAAAGACUCCUCCUUGUAUGUGUUUGCCUUCGAGAAUGUUCAUCAUCUUCAUUUUGAGAAAUCGUUGUAUAAUCUUUAAAGUCUCCUCCAAAAACCCUGUGGGAAAAAUAUGAGGAGAAUAGUGUAGAUAUGUUGCUAAAACUCCUUUAAACCCAGUGGGAAAAAUAAUAAGGAGAAAAUAAUGCAACAUAUAAUGAUUAUUGUCUCUUGAUAACUCAUAUGAGAAAAACCUUUGAAGAAGGAGAAAACUCAUUGGUGAAUUUAGAGAACAAUUGAUAUGUCUUGAUUACUUUCUUUAAAAACCCCAAUAGGGAAAAUAGAAAGUAUGACAUAUGAUCUUUGAUAAGAUAUUGCCUCAUUAAAAACCAUUAUGAGAAACUUUUGAGAGAAAAACUCAUAAGGGAAAAGAGUGCAUUUGACAUGCCAUUGAAAACUCCUUUAAAACCCAAUGGGAAAAAUAUAAGGAGAAAAUGAUAUGGCAUAUACAAACACUUGUGAUUAUAUUGUCUCGUUAAAAACCUUUUAUGAGAAACCAUUAGGGAAAAACUCAUCGAGGGAAAAAGAGUACAAUACAUGCAAUCUGAUGAUUGUUAAUAGGUUAUAGUUUGGGAGAUUACUCCCCCUCAACUUUGCAAAUAUGGUGGAUGUCUCAUACCAAUUUCAUUGACAUGAACAUAAGAUUGUGUAUAAUCUGUUGGAUUUUCACAUGAUUUUGUUUGCAAAUUAUUUCCUCGCUUUUCUAUAAUCCAUGAGGAUAAUAGUUUCCGAGCAAUGUGAUUUGUGAUAUUGCUCUUCAUAUAACCUGUUGGUAUUGAGUAACACAAGUGGAAGUAGCUUUAUAAAUCAAGUAAUGUGAUUCUGAUGAAUCUCAACCACAUGAUUUUGAGUGUGGUUAAUCAUUCUGCUAAGUUAUGCAUAUUUUGCAAUGCCUUUAGAUAAGCAAUUAUGUUAGAAUGAUAAUUGGAACCAUUAAAAUUCAUUUAUAUAACUUCCAUGUGAAGGCUAUUCCAACAAAUUCAGUCAGUGAUAUGGCGUCAUUGGGAUCAAAUAAAAAGCUAAUAUCAUUACAUCAUAUCAUGGUCAUAUCUUCUAUUUCCUCAUGGAAAUAUCCAAGAUUUACUGGAAUCUUCAGAUAUAAGAUGAUAGUAUUUAUAUCAACCAUAUACCUUUUGUUGUUAUGAUAUAUCCACACUGAACUUCUCGUAUAUGUUUUGGAUAUAUGUAGACUGAUACGUAUUCUUGAUAGAAUGCUCAAGUUGUAAACUUAAGCUAAAUUUGGUUGAAUCCAAAUUUUCCGUCUUGAGAUGAUUUUAUGUAUGUUUAGGUCUUGCAGAGACAUUGAGGAUGAAAUCAUCGAUAUAAACCGAGGUGAUAUAAGGAAUUCAAAUUUGGUAUUCCUUUGUUAACACAUAAACAAUCAUCAUUGAGUAAUCCUUCGGAAGAAGAAAAUCAUUUAGUCGGUAGUACCAUAUGAUUUCCGACUAUUUUGAGCCAUAGAGUGACUUCUGAAAUUUUACACAAAUAUGUUGCGAUUUAUUUUGGAUUUGGAAUUGUAAGCCCAUCAGGGACUUCAUUAUAAAUUUCCAAAACGAGUAACUCAUAUGAGUAUGUAGUUACUGCAUCCAUUAACUGCAUGGAUAAUAUUAUUUGUACUACCAAUGAUAUUUAUUAUCAAAACUUAAUUCCACUCAUACCAGGAGUGUAUGUUACAUCAUAAUUUGAUGUCGGGUCUCUGCGUGAACCCUUUUGCUACAAGCCUCGCUUUUUCACCACCUCAUUGACUUUGUCUAUGAAUGAGACGUUUUUAGUAUUCCAUAUGGAAGAUACUUAUGAGGAGUAGGUAUUAAUGUGGUAAAUACCACUCUUUGAUGCGCGACUGUUAUUCUUCAUUACUUGCUUCCUUUUAUGUGAACCAAUAUGAGUACAAGAGGCACUCUACCAUGGAUUUUGGUUCAGGGCCCAAAAGGUUUUAGCAAUUUUCAGAAGAAAUAUAUGUCGACAAAUGUAGACUUAUGUUAUAUGAUUUUGGAGGAAUCAGUGAAAUUUGUGGAAAUGUAUUUAUUCCUUUUAACUCCUUGUGAUUUCCUACAACAAUGGAGUCAAGGUGUUUCGAUGUCCCGACACGAAAACAUUUGUGCACAUUUAUGUCGGGCUUUGGAUGAUGAGCAUCCAGUGAGGUGUUCUUUCAACUUGAUGUUGAAUUACAUUUACUGGUUGAGGAUUUGAUUUCCUCUAUUUCCGCGGAAGCAUAUGCGAGAUUAUAUCUCGUGUGGUCAGAUUUCUUCCCCUCUUGCUCUCAUUUCGGGAGAAGAGUGGUUUAUGAGGUACCUCCACUCUUUCUGACACUUUACUGCAAGAAUUUAAAAUUGAGUGACACCUUUGUGAUCAGUAAAUUUAUGUGGCAGAUUUGCAAUGUGUUGCAAAUAUGUGACUCUAAACUUCUUGUUCAGAUUCUUUGAGUACGUGGAUAUAAGGCCUAAAUGUGAAUACCAUUUCUAAUUUAUUUCUUGGCAUUCUUUGUGGUACUUAUCUCCCCCUAAUGCCAGAAAUGUCCUUAUUGCUGAUGCAAUGACCAUACGGGCUAUGUAUAGUUUUGAUUGACGAAUAAGUUGUUAUUCCUCACAUAGAUCCCUAAUUUUCUAUGAGAGCCCAUUGAUGUAUGCUGGAGUGGUGAUAUCAGUAUGUAACCAAAUUAUCGCAGAUAGGAAAUACUUUGUUGAUUUCCACGUAAUUACUACAAGGGGAAAGUAGUACGCUAUGCAGUUGGUAUGAUUUAUAUCAUACUUACGGUGUGUAAUGUCGUAUUUGUCUAGCAUGAGGCUAGUAAAUUACGAUUCUAUAAGUUUGGUCAUAUUAUUAAUUUCAUUAUAUUUGAUAAGAUAUUGAACUAAACCAUUAUGUGUAUUACAUAAUGUAUUAUGUAUAAUCAGACAUUGCUUGUGAAAUAAGUUCAACGAAGUUGUCCAUUCGAAUGGAUUUAUCCCUUGUUUACGAUAACUUGCUCUUACUUUGAGAAUUUGAGCAAUUAAUUUAGUUAUAUAAUUCAUGGUUUGUGUGACAAGAGACACAAUGGAAAUCAUUUUAUAAAUGUUUCCAUGAGUACCAUGAAGUAUCUAUAUAAUAUCAUAUAAUGGUUGAGUAAUCCACAUAUCUUCUAAAUGUCUUCAAGGAAGAAUAAGUGGCGCAUUUGAAUUUUUAAGGUGAGAGAACCUUAAAACUUAUUUCCCCUAUGGCACAUGUGGUGCACAUAAAAUCUGUUGAUUUGGGAAAUAUUAUAACUUAAAAAGUUUUGUGACCAAUAGAAUUACCAAUAAUUUUCUAAUCAAGCCCAAACCUAGAUUGUAAGGCUUAAAACCAAAUAUUUUGUAAGAUUUAGAAAAUUAUUGUGUACGCAACAAACUGAGUAUGAAUUGAUUCAUACAUGCAAAAUUUGUCAAAUAUAACGUUCAAGCAAUAGGAUAUUGGACAUCGCACUACAUGUAGUAGUACAAGUAUAGGCCAACAAUAUUUUGGGAAUAAUCAGGAUAUUGCAUGAGGUCUCCCAUAUUAUUGAAAAAAAUAGUUACGCAAACAUAUCAUAGGCACAAAAUAAUUGAUCAUUCUUUUAUUGCAUUAUAUUUUUGGUUCUCCUUCUGAUGAAGAUUUGAGAACAUCAUUUACCAGAAUAUUUUCUGGUUGUAUGUUUGCAAUUUUUUUAAAUAUCCCAAUGAACUUAUUAGCCUUUUGAAUAAAUUUUUGAUGUGGUUUGACCAUAUGUUUGAGGGUUUCAUAAUCAUAGGUAUGAUAUUUAUAUAACCACACAUUUGACAAACUUGAGGUUUGUCUUUGUAAUCGUUUGAAAAUGACAUAUUCCCUGUAAAGAGUUAAUUCUAUCUUUGGUUGUCUUUUAGCCUCCACUUUACUUUGGAUUCAUCAUGGUCCUAUUUUGUGACCAAUGACUUGCUUAGUAUUUGCAAUACUAGCAAAAAUUUCAAAUAAUGGAAUAGCACCCGUUGGGUGAAUCUGAUGAUUUUAUGAAAUUCCAUGUUUCUUCAGCAUGAAAAUGGUAGGACUAUCAUAAGAAGAUGUAAAGUGUAUUGAGGGCUUUUCAACUCGAUCUCCGGAUGAAAAUAUUUGAUCAUGAGAUCUCAAUUUAAAGUUGAUUCACUGACAAAAAUGUGAGUUGCGAUAGACUUGAGGUCUUGAGAAAUGAAUGGGUGAUUAUUCGCGAUGUGCUCAUGGCAGCAUGUUUCUCUUAGGGAAAUAUUCAAGGACAAUACACAUGUAUCCAUCAUAUACUUAGUUUGAGAAUCAAGUGAAGUUGGUGACAUAUAAAAUACAUAUGUGCAUCAAUAGAAUAGCCAUGUGUUACAUGAAAUGGUCAUGCAUUAUUUAAUUUACUUCUUGGAGUAAAAUAAAAUAUAUGGAUGAAAUGAUAUUGUUGAGCACAGUCCGCCAAGGCGAUGCUUGGUGAACAUGGGGUGUAAAGCUUCAAUAUAGUGCAUACGAUGAAAUCGUUGCUAAUGUUUUGGGCUUCAUUUGUGAGAAAAGUGUGACUUUAGAGUCCCAGCCAAAACAUAGACUUUGCAAUUUUAAUAUUGCUUAGUCACUAUGAAAAUAAGGACCACAAUGUGAUGUGGAUCUUGCAAUAGUGUUUGAGACACUCACUAUAAAUUAUGGUAUCCAUCUUGAUGGAUGGAUGACACUAUAAUUAGAAAUAGUGACGUAGGCUCCAUUGCCAUGCAUUUUACAAAUGUAGUAGAAGGUAAUCACACGUAUAUGCAAUUGUUUUCAUAGUUUCCUAUGACAUAUUCAAGCAAAAUGUGCAAGAACAAUAUUUACUAUGAGAGUAAAAUAUUUAAGUGAACAACAACAAUAAAUGCUUCGGAGGAGCAAAUUCUAGUACGGCUGAUGCCUUAUAACCAUAUGUGUAGACCUCAAUUUAUAUAGGAUAGCACUUUGAAGAUAAUCACCAAUAUGGUGUAGAUCUCGCAAUAAUAGAAAACAUAGUGUGACUAUUGUCAGUAGAUGUUUAUAAUUCUAUUACCUUAUGUUAUGCUAUUUUUAAGAAAAUCACUUUGAAGGUAAUCAUAUGUCAGGAUGGCAUGAUGUAGACCUCACAGUAGUAUUUGAUAAUCUGCAAGAUUUUGCAGUAGAUACCAAUAUUACCUUAUGAUAUCCUGAGGUAGUCACAUAUUAAUAUUUGGAAAAUCACUUUGAAGGUAGUCAUCUUGUCCAAAUGACAAGAUGUAGACCUCACCAUAGUGGUGGAUAAUCUGCAAAUGGCGCGGUAGAUGCCACCAGUACCUUGCGAUUUCACAAAUAAAAUUUUGGGUAAUCACAUUAUGAAUUGGAAAAUCACAUUAAAAGUAGUCAUCUUAUCAAAAAUGACAAGAUGUAGACCUUACAGUAAUGAUGGAUAAUCUGUAGAUUAUGCAGUAGAUGCCAUCAAUACCUUGUGAUCCACAAAUGUGAUUUGAGGUAGUCAUAUUAAGUAUGACACUUCUUAAUUCUUGUUUGAAUUUACAUCCAUACUUGUAAGAAAAUUGAAUUUCUAUUGCAAGAAUUUAGUUGUUGUCCACAGUAACAUAUUAUAUUGAUUGCAUGAGGUAGACAGAUUGAACAUGUCUUUUUUUUCUUUUGUACGCUUUACAUCAAGUACAUAGACUAAACUGAGCAAACUAAGUCUGAAGACUUAAAACUGCAACCGCAAGUGUUAGAGAUUGAAUGGCAGUUUUAGAAAUCUUGGGUACUAAAACAUACGGUUUAGUAAAUCACAAUUAACCCUUAAUGGAUCUGAAACUGCAGGGACAAGAUAUGAUUAUCUUAAAGUACAGGGUUGAAUUGAAUAAAUUCCAAAGAAGAUAAGAUCCCUAAUUUCUUUCUCUCUUGUGUAUGCGUAUGCGGUAGCAAUUGAAAAACAUCUACAGCGUUGCUCGCUUUAUGGACAAAGCCAAACCAUUGUAGCCGCAGCCGGCGGCAUGAACUAUUGUGGACGAUGCCGCCAAGGUGUGCCGCAUACUGCUGCCACGCCGGGCGCUGGGAGAUGGGGAGCCGCCGCCCAGCCUUAUGUGCUCGCCGGAGAGGACCUGCCAAGGGCCGUGGCUUCGGAUGCGAACGAGCCGGAGGGCUUCGCCGCCCCCUAUUGGAUGCGGCAGGAUCACGAUGCCACGCGUUGUGUAGGGAUGCACAAUCAGGCCCGGUGUGAAGGUCUCGCCAUGGCCUCCAUGGACAAUGCACGGUUCCUUUUUUUCGAUACAAAGCCAUUCACGUUAGUGCAUAGAUGUACAUACAAAAUUGAUUGAUUACGAGAUGACGAUGAGGAGCAAAUUCUUGAUUUAUUUCCCGAAUUGUAUUUGACCAUUCGGUGCCGCAUCUUGUAGCCGCCGAUCGGUAGCAGUGCCAUGACCGCACAGGGAGGGUGAAGCCGUGCUGGGUCGGGAGCCGUCACGCGCGCUCCGGACACGUGGCGCUGGGAGUCACCGUCGUCCUGCCUUGCGCCUCAUCGAUAUGACCUCGCCCAGUUCCUGCCGCUGUAGCGCCGUUCGUCGUCUGUGUGCCUCCCGCUGCCGCUGAUGCCGGAGCGUCUCAUAGGUUGGAGGGCGUCGCACCCGAUCUGCUGCCGCGUCGGGAGGAGCCAAGCCGAGGGGCGUUGAGCACCACGCACGGGCCGGAGGGAGCGACGAUGCGUCGCCGAAGUGCCGCUGUCUCUUGUCCCAGAGCGGGGCUGCAACGAGGAGGACGCCGCGCGCGUGCCGGAGGGCGUGGCUGCGAAGGGCCGACCGUGGUCGCCGCAGCGACGGCAGAGGUUCGAGCGUGUCUCCGGCGAUUCAUUGUGAUGCAUCUGCCGUUCUUCCGAUGUGGCCUAUUUCUCUAAUCGAGAGCAGAGUGCGUGAUAACGUGUAAAGAGUAAAAAGAGUACAAAGGAAAGAGAGAGCAAAUGAUGAAACAGUUGUUUCAUUGAUUGAAGAUGUGGAUAUAUAUACCCAGUACAAAGGCGGUUACAAGGAGCAGUUGCUAAACUAAAGCAACUGACAUAGCAGGGAUUAUCCCUUAAUUAAUUUAUUUAAUUAAUUCCUAACAGUUAUUAGAUAGUAUGGUGUGCACGGUCAUGUACAUGCAUUGUUAUUUUAGCUUAGUUAGGCCAAUUAGUGGUUAUUAAGUAGUAUGGCGUAAUGCCUUGUGUACCCCAAAUGAUCUGAUUAGUUUCUUUAUCUAUUUAGUGUAGUCUAUGCCACGUGGGCCUCUGGUUUAUUUUAUAAGCCUCAUACGAAAUAUGUGUAAAUGACAUAUGUGGCCAUCCCGUAAAAAAAUUAUUAUAAAUAUAUAUAUGUAAAAUAAUAUUAAUUAAUUAGUGAGUAAUUAACUAACUAUUAAUUAGUUGAUUUAAUCAAUCCCUAAUUAAUUUGUCUAAACUAAUUAGGUAAUUAUCUGAUAUGUAUAAUAUUUUAUGUUAGUUAAUUUGUAUGGUGGACACGUGGGGCUCACUGAUCAUGCUGAUGUCAUUAACACUUAUUUGAAUUAAAUUAAUUUUGUUUAUUUUAAAAAUAUAAUUAAAACUUAAAAAUUAAUAUAAAAUAAUCCGUAAGUGAGAUGAAAAUACUUCCAACAUGGAACUUUUCCCGGUUACACGGUCCAUUCGUCUGUCACGUGUCUCUAGCAUAGCAAACAUGGAACUUUUCCAUCGUUUCUCGUUUGAUCGGUAGUAGCCCGAGACCCGGAAAAUAUCGUCAGAUAUUCUUCCGACCCGUCUAUGAUGGAUGUUAUUUCAUUAGCUCAUGCCUAGCCUGCUUUUUUUCAUGUCGUGCUUAGUGUUGCACUGUUGUUAUUAUUAAUUGUUUCUUCCCCCUCUUCUUACCGGUAGACCCCGAGACCGAUGAUGAUCCGGUGAUCGACUACUUCCCGGUCAAGGAUCCGUUCUGUUUGCAGAGCAACAAGGCAAGCAAACCCCCCUUGAUCAUUCCUAUAUCGCCUAUGUCUUUCUUCCUACUUCUUGCAUUAGUAUUUUGCUACUGUUGUAGUUAGCUCCUAUAUCUGAUGCAUAGCCUAUUUUGAUGAACUGCUACUUUCAGCUCUGUACUUUAAAUCUGCUUAGUAUAGGUCGAGCAGUCAUCCCCUCUGACCCUGUAGUUCAGUUGCCCCGCUUGCUUUCAAUCUCGAUCCCUAAUCAAAGAGCCAGACCCGACACAGCACACACACACACCCUUAGUUGUACGACGCUACAGAGAUACUAUCGGGUACCGAGGGUGACACCUCGCUGAGUACUCCUGAUGAUAUCUCUGUAGUAUAGCUAGUCGGACGUGGUUAUCGAGGGUGAUUCCUCUUUCACCAUUCCCGAUGACGCCUCUCUCGUGCAACCCCUCAAGUGUGGGACCCAUGAUGGUGAUUCCGCUAAGCCCACCUUGACGGAUACAUCGUUCGGAAUCCAACGAGGGUGAUACCUCGGAUUCCCCCCGAUCUUACAACCACACAGUUACUCGACCAUGUUACUAGGAUCAUUGGUGAUUAGUUGUUAAGACGGGUGGAUUCCCGCGAGACUGUGUUGAUGGCCUAAUUAAAAUGUUAAUGGAUUUGGGUAUUUGAUCUGGGUUGGUCGGAGACCUUUUCGCACUAACCGUCUGCGUGGGAAGAAUUAUGGGUACUCGGCGUCGCGGUAUCAGCCGAAGCUUUUCAGAUGUCAGCAACGUAGUGGCGCGCGCCCGAGUGGUCCCGAGAUGCAUUGCCCUUGUGAUUAAGGGAUGCUAGGACUGACGUCGGUCGCCCUCGCAUCGUGCAGGAGCACGGAGGGGGAACUAGGCCCAUGAACCCUUUGCGCUUAGGAUUUAGACCGGCGGGCUGGCCUCUCUGGUUAGUCUUAGGUGGAGCUGCGACGUGUCGAUAUUCCGAGGCCGGGCUGGACCCAGAAAAGUAUGUCUGGCCAGAGUGUUAUCGAGCGUGACGGGACAUGUGGUGCACCCCUGCAGGGAUGAAAAUUAACUAUUCGAAUAGCCGUGUCCACGGUUACAGGACGACUUGGAGUUGUGCCCUGAUCUUAUACAACUACAACUGGUACUUAACUGGAAUUAGUUGGCUCGGGAUUGCUUCCUCGCAGGGAGUCGAGGGAGGAUCUCUAGGCAUGACCUCACUUUAAUAUUGCUGCAACAAUAUGACUAUUAAUUGUGUUACCUUAUUCUACUCUCGUCUUUUGCUGCAAGAUCCUGAAGAUGCUAGUCUUCGAUAGGACUAGGCCUUCUCUCUAUUCUUGCAUUGUUGCAGUCAGUCCACAUAUAAAACCACUUCUUUGAUACUGGUGCAUAUUUAGCAUAGUUCUGAUGUAAGUCUUGCGAGUACUUUGGAUGAGUACUCACGCUGCUUUGCUCCCCCUUUGUCCCCUUGAUCCGUUGCUGCGACCAGAUGAUGGAGCCCAGGAGAUGUAGUUUCCUGCCGACGCCUGUUGCCCCGUUGGCGUUUUCUACGUGGAGGCCGCUAAUGAUCAGGAGUAGUUAGGAGGUUCCCAGGCAGGAGGCCUCGCCUCGUUCGAUCGUUGUAUCUUUUGUGCUAGCCUUCUCUAAGGCACCCCAUGUUUUAUGUCUGUACUCAGGUAUUGUUGCUUCCGCUGACUCGUGUGUUUAUCGAGCUUUUGUAUUCUAGCCCUCGAGGCCCCUGGCUUGUAACAUGAAGCUUGUAUUAUUUUAUUUGUGUCUAGAGU
RNAcentral lists this long non-coding RNA (10679 nucleotides) under Hordeum vulgare. RNAcentral describes it as "long non-coding RNA (HVUL_LNC007071)". Lineage: Eukaryota; Viridiplantae; Streptophyta; Magnoliopsida; Poales; Poaceae. The record is from RNAcentral.